Ictalurus punctatus (channel catfish) is the source of this 660-nucleotide long non-coding RNA. The record is from Ensembl. Lineage: Eukaryota; Metazoa; Chordata; Actinopteri; Siluriformes; Ictaluridae.
UCUCUCCCUCUCUUUACCUCCCUCUCCCUCUCUCCUUCUCUUGAGCCACACAUGAUAUUAUGGAGAUGCCAGUGAUCCUGACCCUUUCUGGUCUUCAGACCUGCCUGAUCCAUCCUGAUGAUCUACCUCUGGAUGGAGUUCUCAUCAACUGGAGGCUACAUUCUGCCACUGAGCACGACCCCAAGCAGUGCAGCCCGGAGAUUGCUGAGGACAGUGCCUGUUGAAGAACCAUGGAAAUGGUUUUGGACCUCAAUUUCACAUGGACAUUCUCGCUGUUGUUGCUGAAAUUACCUCAUAUAAUUUUGCACUCAAGUUGCCUUUAGUGAACAGUGGACUAGUACCACAAACAGACUUCAUAUAAAAACAUAAUUCACUUCCCUUUACUUUCACACCAUCCGUUGUUACCCAGAUGAGGACGGGUUCCCUUCUGAGUUUGGUUCCUCUCAAGGUUUCUUCCUCAUAUCAUCUUAAGGAGUUUUUCCUCGCCCCUAUCGCCACCGGCUCGCUCAGAUGGGGGCUCUUCUUAUUGCCCUUGUUCCUGUACAUCAGUAACAGCGUCUCCAGACCCCUCACCACAGCCUCAACAGGAACGGUGACAGGCCUGCAUAUCCUAAGUUUAACAUCUUUGGUGCAGCUAUAACAACCUUGACCUGAAAUAAC